Molecule: ribosomal RNA, 1235 nt
Filed under: metagenome
Description: bacterial LSU rRNA
Rfam family: Bacterial large subunit ribosomal RNA
Source: RNAcentral
UGAAUACGAGAUGCUACGGCGUCGAAGCAGUCUAUGUCAUACUUCCAAGAAAAGCUCGCACUGUCAUAAACAAAUAAUGCCUGUACCACAACCGACACAGGUGGGUAGGUAGAGUAUACUAAGGGGCGCGAGAUAACUCUCUCUAAGGAACUCGGCAAAAUGACUCCGUAACUUCGGGAGAAGGAGUGCCUUAUUUAUAAGGUUGCAAUAACAAGAUCCAAGCGACUGUUUAUCAAAAACACAGGUCUCCGCUAAGUCGUAAGACGAUGUAUGGGGGCUGACGCCUGCCCAGUGCCAGAAGGUUAAAGAAGUUGGUUAGCAUUCGCGAAGCUGAUAACUGAAGCCUUGGUGAACGGCGGCCGUAACAAUAACGGUCCUAAGGUAGCGAAAUUCCUUAUCGGGUAAGUUCCGACCCGCACGAAUGGCGUAAUGAUUUGGAUACUGUCUCGGAGAGGGGCUCGGUGAAAUAGACUUCUGUGAAGAUGCGGACUACCUGCACCAGGACAGAAAGACCCUAUGAAGCUUUACUGUAACUUGAGAUUGAAAUUGGACUUUACUUGCGCAGUAUAGGUGGGAGGCGUUGAUAAUAUUCUUGCGGGAUUAUUUGAGCCAUCAGUGAGAUACCACUCUUGUAAUGUUAGAUUUCUAACUUUGUAUCAUUAUCUGGUCAAAGGACAGUUUCAGGCGGGCAGUUUGACUGGGGCGGUCGCCUCCUAAACGGUAACGGAGGCGCACAAAGGUUUCCUCUGAACGGGUAGAAAUCGUACCUAGAGUGUAAAGGCAUAAGGAAGCUUGACUGUGAGACCUACAAGUCGAGCAGGGACGAAAGUCGGUCUUAGUGAUCUGACGGUGCUGAGUGGAAAGGCCGUCACUCAACGGAUAAAAGUUACUCUAAGGAUGACAGGCUGAUCUCCCCCAAGAGUUCACAUCGACGGGGAGGUUUGGCACCUCGAUGUCGGCUCAUCGCAUCCUGGGGCGGUAGUACGUCCCAAGGGUUGGGCUGUUCGCCCAUGAAAGCGGUACGCGAGCUGGGUUCAGAACGUCGUGAGACAGUUCGGUCCAUAUCCGGUGUAGGCGUUAGAAUAUUGAGAGGAGCCUUCUUUAGUACGAGAGGACCGAGAAGGACAUACCUCUGGUGUACCAGUUAUCGUGCCAACGGUAAACGCUGGGUAGCUAUGUAUGGAGUGGAUAACCGCUGAAAGCAUCUAAGUGGGAAGCCCACCUCAAGAUAAGUA